This 483-nucleotide ribosomal RNA is filed under the name uncultured bacterium. Its description in RNAcentral is "partial 16S ribosomal RNA". It matches the Rfam family "Bacterial small subunit ribosomal RNA", at positions 28 to 523 of the family's 1533-position model. The record is from RNAcentral.
GACGAACGCUGGCGGCGUGCUUAACACAUGCAAGUCGAACGGUGAAGGUGGAGCUUGCUCCGCCGGAUCAGUGGCGAACGGGUGAGUAACACGUGGGCAACCUGCCCCAGACUUCGGGAUAACCCCUCGAAAGAGGCGCUAAUACCGGCUCCGAGUUUUGCAGGCAUCUGCGGAAUUGGAAAGUUUUUCGGUCUGGGAUGGGCCGGCGGCCUAUCAGCUUGUUGGUGAGGUAACGGCUCACCAAGGCGACGACGGGUAGCCGGCCUGAGAGGGCGACCGGCCACACUGGGACUGAGACACGGCCCAGACUCCUACGGGAGGCAGCAGUGGGGAAUAUUGCACAAUGGGCGGAAGCCUGAUGCAGCAACGCCGCGUGAGGGAUGACGGCCUUCGGGUUGUAAACCUCUUUUAGCAGGGAAGAAGCGAAAGUGACGGUACCUGCAGAAAAAGCACCGGCUAAUUACGUGCCAGCCGCCGCAGUAA